GAGCAGGAGAGGGUAAUGGGGACACCACUACUACGUAUUACAAGCCAUUCUAAACAAAUAGGUCUUGAGUUUGGAUCUAAAAAGAGCUACAUCUGUAAUAGU
Long non-coding RNA from Sander lucioperca (pikeperch), 102 nucleotides. RefSeq lists it as uncharacterized. The transcript is spliced from 3 exons. The record is from RefSeq and is a predicted model, not a curated record. Lineage: Eukaryota; Metazoa; Chordata; Actinopteri; Perciformes; Percidae.